AGCCUUUAGAAGCUGGGAAUAGCCCUCGGCUAGCAAGGAGACCUUGGAGACCUUGGUCCUAUAACCACAAGGAAUUCUGUUCUGCCAAGAGCUGGAAUGACCAAGCAUCGUGUGUGCAAAUAGAGGGCUUCUGCGGAGUCGCAGCAUCAGCAUCACACUCCGUUGUCAUAGUUACACCCUGAAAAGGAAGAUGCCCUGACAAAGACCAGAUUGGCUGUGCCCCUAAGUUUGGAGAAGACUCUUGCGAGUCCCUUGGACUGCAAGGAGAUCCAACC
This is a long non-coding RNA of Bubalus bubalis (water buffalo), 275 nucleotides long. RefSeq lists it as uncharacterized. The transcript has 3 exons. The record is from RefSeq and is a predicted model, not a curated record. NCBI's taxonomy places the organism in Eukaryota, Metazoa, Chordata, Mammalia, Artiodactyla, Bovidae.